RNAcentral lists this ribosomal RNA (442 nucleotides) under uncultured bacterium. Its description in RNAcentral is "bacterial SSU rRNA". It matches the Rfam family "Bacterial small subunit ribosomal RNA", at positions 29 to 497 of the family's 1533-position model. The record is from RNAcentral.
AAUGAACGCUGGCGGCAUGGAUUAGGCAUGCAAGUGGAACGGGCACUUCGGUGUCAGUCGCGAAAGGGUGAGUAACGCGUGAACAAUCUGCCCUCAAGUUCGGAAUAACUUCUGGAAACGGGAGCUAAUACCGGAUGUGGUUAUUUUAUGGCAUCAUGAAAUAACUAAAGGUUUACCGCUUGAGGAUGAGUUCGCGUCCCAUUAUGCUAGUUGGUGUGGUAACGGCACACCAAGGCUAAGACGGGUAGGUGGUCUGAGAGGAUGGUCACCCACACUGGAACUGAGAUACUGUCCAGACUCCUGCGGGAGGCUGCAGUCGAGAAUCUUCCGCAAUGCGCGAAAGCGUGACGGAGCAAUGCCGCGUGAUCGAUGACGGCCUUCGGGUGGUAAAGAUCUGUCAGGGGGGAAAAACAGUGAUGGUACCCCCAGAGGAAGCCACGGC